CACAACCUUUAUAUAUGUUAUGUAUUAUCAUAAAAUACAACUCUCAUUUCAAUAUUAAGAAUGAACACGAAUGCGGCCACUUUCAUUUAAGACGGAAACCGUCUAAAAUUUAACUAAAAUGCUAAAAUUGUGAAGAUUUCAGUAAUUUAGCAUGACUUUUUGAUGCUGGCACCCGAUAUAUGUGCAUUGUAUUGUCAAAAACAGCCCAUAUUUAUGUAGCAGAAGCAUUUUACUUUCCAAUGAAUAACUAAAAGUUUACAUCUUAACAAUUUUGUAAAACUGCUAUAUUUUGGGGCCAAAAAGGGGGCUUACUGAACCUACUCCUUUACUUCUGGAUACUAUCUUAUGAUCAUAAACAAGCUUCUGUCCAAGUUUGGUAGAAAUCCAGUUCAGUUUAAGAAAGUUAUUAAAAUUUCAAAACUUUAACCAUAGAGUGAAUAUUUGUGGACGCCGGUGACGCUGUCGACGCAACCAGAAUGUAGGAUCGCUA
Molecule: long non-coding RNA, 490 nt
Filed under: Mytilus galloprovincialis (Mediterranean mussel)
Lineage: Eukaryota; Metazoa; Mollusca; Bivalvia; Mytilida; Mytilidae
Source: RNAcentral